GACGAACGCUGGCGGCGUGCUUAACACAUGCAAGUCGAACGGAAAGGCCCUGCUUUUGUGGGGUGCUCGAGUGGCGAACGGGUGAGUAACACGUGAGUAACCUGCCCUUGACUUUGGGAUAACUUCAGGAAACUGGGGCUAAUACCGGAUAGGAGCUCCUGCUGCAUGGUGGGGGUUGGAAAGUUUCGGCGGUUGGGGAUGGACUCGCGGCUUAUCAGCUUGUUGGUGGGGUAGUGGCUUACCAAGGCUUUGACGGGUAGCCGGCCUGAGAGGGUGACCGGCCACAUGGGAACGGGAGUACGCCCAGGACGCCUAGGGGGGGCAGGGUGGGGGAAUAUGCACAAAGGGGGGAAACCCUAUUCCGGAACCCCCGGGGGGGGGAUGAGGGCCUUGGGGUGGAAAACGCGUUUGCCUGGGAACAAAGGGGAGGUAACGGUAAGGGUAAAAAAAGCCCCGGCAAACUAGGG
Molecule: ribosomal RNA, 467 nt
Filed under: uncultured bacterium
Lineage: Bacteria
Description: partial 16S ribosomal RNA
Rfam family: Bacterial small subunit ribosomal RNA
Source: RNAcentral